CAGACUUUGGGCGGAGUAAAACCUCUCGCUUCACAUGAACAUGCAUAAAUCCAUCAUCCAACAACAGCUGCGAGUUGGACAGGUCAGGGGUCGAAAGAUUUCCCAUGAGCAUUAUGACAAACGUAUUUGUUGCCACUACAACAACAAAAAUGUAUUCCGUCUUGCAUGGAAAAAGGAAACGGGGAGAUGCAACUUUCCCGAUCCCUGUGGACCAAUACAUCAGUAUUGUGUAUUCACAAUACAUUGGUUUUGAGUCAAAUAAUAUAAGAAGGGAAAAUGUAUUUAUUCACAUUUGAUUUGAUGAUAACUGCAAUCAACAGGAUCAAUAGGAGGAUACGCAUAUGUCAUUUUCUUCACAUUCCCUGGACUGACUGAUGAUGAACCAGAGGAUGAGAAGAGAGAGGUACAGGGAGCGACAGAGGAGAGACACAGAGAGGGGCAGACGGAGCCAACCCUGUCUACCUCUAUGUACCCUCUCUCCAACUACAGCAUGUUGUCAUUAUUACACUGGUGCAGAGAUGGAUAGCAUAGCUUGCUGUAUGUUUAGUCAGUAAGAAAACAUUCUGGUGAGCAUGGGUAUCUUAAUAAAGGAAGGAUUACGCUA
Long non-coding RNA from Salvelinus sp. IW2-2015, 604 nucleotides. RefSeq lists it as uncharacterized. NCBI's taxonomy places the organism in Eukaryota, Metazoa, Chordata, Actinopteri, Salmoniformes, Salmonidae. The record is from RefSeq and is a predicted model, not a curated record.